This 238-nucleotide long non-coding RNA is filed under the name Brassica napus (rape). RNAcentral's name for it is "long non-coding RNA (BNAP_LNC001900)". Lineage: Eukaryota; Viridiplantae; Streptophyta; Magnoliopsida; Brassicales; Brassicaceae. The record is from RNAcentral.
UCUGAGACCUCUUCCGCCAUGGCUUCUUCUGUGACAGCUGAACCUUGCGAAACAUCCUCUUUCAUAAUCUCUGAUAUGAUCUUCGAAUCUACAGGAGUGGAGAGUGAACUCUGGACAUCAUUGUCGUCGUCGUCUCUCUCUGUUCUUCGUCAUCGUCUAUAUCUGUUCCUCAUCGUCUCUCUCUGUUUUCCUCGUCGUAUCUUUCUCUGUGUUCCCAGUCAUCUGUUCUUAGUCGUCG